Molecule: ribosomal RNA, 518 nt
Filed under: Listeria monocytogenes
Lineage: Bacteria; Bacillati; Bacillota; Bacilli; Caryophanales; Listeriaceae
Description: bacterial SSU rRNA
Rfam family: Bacterial small subunit ribosomal RNA
Source: RNAcentral
GAGAUAGAGCUUUCCCUUCGGGGACAAAGUGACAGGUGGUGCAUGGUUGUCGUCAGCUCGUGUCGUGAGAUGUUGGGUUAAGUCCCGCAACGAGCGCAACCCUUAUUGUUAGUUGCCAUCAUUUAGUUGGGCACUCUAGCGAGACUGCCGGUGACAAACCGGAGGAAGGUGGGGAUGACGUCAAAUCAUCAUGCCCCUUAUGACCUGGGCUACACACGUGCUACAAUGGGAAGUACAACGAGUCGCUAGACCGCGAGGUCAUGCAAAUCUCUUAAAGCUUCUCUCAGUUCGGAUUGCAGGCUGCAACUCGCCUGCAUGAAGCCGGAAUCGCUAGUAAUCGCGGAUCAGCACGCCGCGGUGAAUACGUUCCCGGGCCUUGUACACACCGCCCGUCACACCACGAGAGUUUGUAACACCCGAAGUCGGUGAGGUAACCUUUUUGGAGCCAGCCGCCUAAGGUGGGAUAGAUGAUUGGGGUGAAGUCGUAACAAGGUAGCCGUAUCGGAAGGUGCGGCUGG